Molecule: ribosomal RNA, 253 nt
Filed under: uncultured bacterium
Lineage: Bacteria
Description: partial 16S ribosomal RNA
Rfam family: Bacterial small subunit ribosomal RNA
Source: RNAcentral
UACGAAGGGGGCUAGCGUUGUUCGGAAUUACUGGGCGUAAAGCGCAUGUAGGCGGAUAUUUAAGUCAGGGGUGAAAUCCCGCAGCUCAACUGCGGAACUGCCUUUGAUACUGGGUAUCUUGAGUAUGGAAGAGGUGAGUGGAAUUCCGAGUGUAGAGGUGAAAUUCGUAGAUAUUCGGGGGAACACCAGUGGCGAAGGCGGCUCACUGGUCCAUUACUGACGCUGAGGUGCGAAAGCGUGGGGAGCAAACAGG